Molecule: ribosomal RNA, 258 nt
Filed under: uncultured bacterium
Lineage: Bacteria
Description: partial 16S ribosomal RNA
Rfam family: Bacterial small subunit ribosomal RNA
Source: RNAcentral
UACGGAGGGUGCAAGCGUUGUUCGGAAUUAUUGGGCGUAAAGCGCGUGCAGGCGGUUGCUUAAGUCUGAUGUGAAAGCCCUGGGCUCAACCCGGGAAGUGCAUUGGAAACUGGUAGGCUAGAGUGCAGGAGAGGGAAGUGGAAUUCCAAGUGUAGCGGUGAAAUGCGCAGAUAUUUGGAAGAACACCAGUGGCGAAGGCGGCUUCCUGGACUGCGUCUGACGCUGAGGCGCGAAAGCUAGGGGAGCGAACAGGAUUAG